RNAcentral lists this microRNA (20 nucleotides) under Eptesicus fuscus (big brown bat). RNAcentral's name for it is "efu-miR-9192". Lineage: Eukaryota; Metazoa; Chordata; Mammalia; Chiroptera; Vespertilionidae. The record is from miRBase by way of RNAcentral.
ACUGGUUGACCAGUUGACUG